This 201-nucleotide long non-coding RNA is filed under the name Trifolium pratense (red clover). Its description in RNAcentral is "long non-coding RNA (TPRA_LNC006077)". The record is from RNAcentral. Lineage: Eukaryota; Viridiplantae; Streptophyta; Magnoliopsida; Fabales; Fabaceae.
UAAAAUGGAGACACAUGUAUGUAAAGUAAAUAGACUAUGUACCUAACUUGACUAUGUGUAAAAACUAUCUAGAAACUGGUACAUGUUUCACUUCGUUAAGAAUAGGGUUUAUGUCUAAGCAAAGUUACUUACGGAUCAAAUACAACACCUCCAGCUUCUCUAACAAUGACAGCACCACCUGCCACAUCCCUGGAAAGAGAC